CGGCCGCGGUAUCCUAACCGUGCAAAGGUAGCGUAAUCACUUGUCUCUUAAAUAGAGACUUGUAUGAACGGCUAAAUGAAGAUAACACUGUCUCCUUUAAUUAACCAGUGAAACUGAUCUCCAAGUACAAAAGCUUGGAUAAAAACACAAGACGAGAAGACCCUGUGGAGCUUAAAACAGCCCUAUUAUAGCUAUGUUUUAAGUUGGGGCGACUUCGGAGAAAACCAAAACCUCCGAGCACAGGGCCAGCCCCCGGCCAACAAGCCAACGACACCAAACUGACCCAGUCUAACUGAAUAACGGACCAAGUUACCCCAGGGAUAACAGCGCCAUCUUCUUCAAGAGUUCCCAUCGACAAGAAGGUUUACGACCUCGAUGUUGGAUCAGGACACCCAAAUGGUGCAGCAGCUAUUAAAGGUUCG
This 422-nucleotide ribosomal RNA is filed under the name Panaspis africana. RNAcentral describes it as "Panaspis africanus partial 16S ribosomal RNA". It matches the Rfam family "Bacterial large subunit ribosomal RNA", at positions 1928 to 2575 of the family's 2925-position model. Lineage: Eukaryota; Metazoa; Chordata; Lepidosauria; Squamata; Scincidae. The record is from RNAcentral.